UACGAAGGGGGCGAGCGUUGUUCGGAUUUACUGGGCGUAAAGGGCGCGUAGGCGGCCAACCAAGUCAGGCGUGAAAGCCCCGGGCUCAACCUGGGAGGUGCGCUUGGGACUGGCUGGCUGGAGUUCGGGAGAGGAGCGUGGAAUUCCCAGUGUAGAGGUGAAAUUCGUAGAUAUUGGGAAGAACACCGGUGGCGAAGGCGGCGCUCUGGACCGAUACUGACGCUGAGGCGCGAAAGCGUGGGGAGCAAACAGG
RNAcentral lists this ribosomal RNA (253 nucleotides) under uncultured bacterium. Its description in RNAcentral is "partial 16S ribosomal RNA". It matches the Rfam family "Bacterial small subunit ribosomal RNA", at positions 524 to 776 of the family's 1533-position model. The record is from RNAcentral.